This 1565-nucleotide ribosomal RNA is filed under the name Eleutherodactylus auriculatus. RNAcentral describes it as "16S ribosomal RNA". It matches the Rfam family "Bacterial large subunit ribosomal RNA", at positions 425 to 2925 of the family's 2925-position model. Lineage: Eukaryota; Metazoa; Chordata; Amphibia; Anura; Eleutherodactylidae. The record is from RNAcentral.
CCAAAAACCUAGCCAAAAUUUACCCAUUUCAUCAAUUUUAUUAAACUAAAAUAUUCUACUCAAUCUAGUAAAGAUGAUUAAAAAAUUUAUUUGAGCUAUAAAAACGUACCGAAAGGGAAAGAUGAAAUAACAAUGAAACAUCACUUAAGCACAAAAUAGUAGAGACUCAACCUCGUACCUUUUGCAUCAUGGUUUAGCUAGUCUAACCAAGCAAAAAGAAAUUAAGUUUGACUUCCCGAAACUAAGUGAGCUACCUUAGGACAGCCUAAUGGGCAAACCCGUCUCUGUUGCAAAAGAGUGGGAAGAUCUUAAAGUAGAGGUGAUAUACCUAUCGAACUUAGCAAUAGCUGGUUAUUUAGGAAAAGAAUCUUAGUUCAACCUAAAGCUUUAUCAAUACCCCAAAAUAAUCAGCUUUAGAGCUAUUCAAAUAAGUCACAGCUUGUUUGAAAUAGGAUACAACCUCAACCUGUGGGUAAUUAAUUAAUGAACAAAAACAAGUAGGCCUAAAAGCAGCCACCUUUGAAAAAGCGUCAAAGCUUAACCUCCAACACUCUUUAUGAUCACUUAAACUAUUCAAAGACCCCUCGACAGCACUAAAUAAUCCUAUACCCUCAUAGGACUCUCUAUGUUAAGACUAGUAACAAGAACAACCUUCUCUUAUAUGUAAGUGUAAAUCAGAAUAGAAAUACUACUGAUACCUAACAGCCUUAACUUAAAGUACCAAACUACUUAGAAAAAUCUACUGAUUUAGCUGUUAAUCUAACACAAGAGCAUAAAAAGAAAGAUUAUAAGAAAAAGAAGGAAUUCGGCAAACCUUGAUUCCGCCUGUUUACCAAAAACAUCGCCUCCUGUCUAUCUAUAGGAGGUCCAGCCUGCCCAGUGACCUAGUUUAACGGCCGCGGUAUCCUAACCGUGCGAAGGUAGCGUAAUCACCUGUUUUUUAAUUGAAGACCUGUAUGAAAGGCAUCACGAGAAUCGUACUGUCUCCUUUUUCUAAUCAGUGAAACUAAUCUCCCCGUGAAAAAGCGGGAAUACUCAUACAAGACGAGAAGACCCUUUGGAGCUUAAGACAAAGUAACGUUUUGCAUUCUUCAUUUUAACCUAUUUCUCUAAGCACUUACAUUACAAAUCUUCGGUUGGGGCAACCGCGGAGUAAAAACCACCCUCCAAGUUGAAUGGAAUUUUCCUAAGCAAGAAGCCACAACUUUAUGCAUCAAAAAAUUGACAUUAUGACCCAAUAUCUUGAUUAUCGAACCAAGUUACCCUAGGGAUAACAGCGCAAUCCACUUCGAGAGUUCAUAUCGACAAGUGGGCUUACGACCUCGAUGUUGGAUCAAGGUAUCCUAGUGGUGCAGCCGCUACUAAUGGUUCGUUUGUUCAACGAUUAAAACCUUACGUGAUCUGAGUUCAGACCGGAGUAAUCCAGGUCAGUUUCUAUCUGUAAAGAGCUCUUUCCAGUACGAAAGGAUAGAAAAAGCAUGGCCAAUGAAAAAUUUACGCCAUUUAACUACUUAUGAUAACCACUUAAAAAGUUACUUCUCCCACUCACACUCAAGAUCAGAGUA